Molecule: small nucleolar RNA, 84 nt
Organism: Varanus komodoensis (Komodo dragon)
Lineage: Eukaryota; Metazoa; Chordata; Lepidosauria; Squamata; Varanidae
Product: small nucleolar RNA, C/D box 127
Source: Ensembl
CGGCAACCGUGAUGACCGCUCUUGACUCUGCAGUGAACAUCGCUGUGACAUGGAGACACCAGUCCCUCUAAACUGACGUUGCCA